This 162-nucleotide transfer RNA is filed under the name Candidatus Aenigmatarchaeota archaeon. Its description in RNAcentral is "tRNA-Leu". Lineage: Archaea; Nanobdellati; Candidatus Aenigmatarchaeota. The record is from RNAcentral.
GCGGAGGUAGCCAAGUCUGGUCAAAGUCGUAUGAAGCACCAGCUAUUAUGGUACUUCACUCGGUGGAAGCGCAAGGCUUAGGACCUUGUCGGUAACACAUGACAUGCCAAUGCAUGUCUGUCGGCAAUAGUCCGUUCGUCGGUUCGAAUCCGGCCCUCCGCA